This 504-nucleotide ribosomal RNA is filed under the name Pseudomonas sp. Its description in RNAcentral is "bacterial SSU rRNA". It matches the Rfam family "Bacterial small subunit ribosomal RNA", at positions 95 to 595 of the family's 1533-position model. The record is from RNAcentral. Lineage: Bacteria; Pseudomonadati; Pseudomonadota; Gammaproteobacteria; Pseudomonadales; Pseudomonadaceae.
GCGGCGGACGGGUGAGUAAUGCCUAGGAAUCUGCCUGGUAGUGGGGGACAACGUUUCGAAAGGAACGCUAAUACCGCAUACGUCCUACGGGAGAAAGCAGGGGACCUUCGGGCCUUGCGCUAUCAGAUGAGCCUAGGUCGGAUUAGCUAGUUGGUGAGGUAAUGGCUCACCAAGGCUACGAUCCGUAACUGGUCUGAGAGGAUGAUCAGUCACACUGGAACUGAGACACGGUCCAGACUCCUACGGGAGGCAGCAGUGGGGAAUAUUGGACAAUGGGCGAAAGCCUGAUCCAGCCAUGCCGCGUGUGUGAAGAAGGUCUUCGGAUUGUAAAGCACUUUAAGUUGGGAGGAAGGGUUGUAGAUUAAUACUCUGCAAUUUUGACGUUACCGACAGAAUAAGCACCGGCUAACUCUGUGCCAGCAGCCGCGGUAAUACAGAGGGUGCAAGCGUUAAUCGGAAUUACUGGGCGUAAAGCGCGCGUAGGUGGUUCGUUAAGUUGGAUGU